GCAACUUUAGCUCAGUUGGGAGAGCGUCAGACUGAAGUGUACUUCUGUCGAGCAUGGCCUGUCUGUCUUUGGGCGGAUGGGAGUGUGAUCUGAAGGUCACCCGUUCGAUCCGGGUAAGUUGCA
Molecule: non-coding RNA, 123 nt
Organism: Podospora conica
Lineage: Eukaryota; Fungi; Ascomycota; Sordariomycetes; Sordariales; Podosporaceae
Source: the annotation of a GenBank genome assembly